CCGUGUUUACCAUGACCGCGUUGCCUCGGCGGGCCCACUGGGGCCUGGCCCCGGUCGCCGGGGGGCUUCUGCCCCCGGGUCCGCGCCCGCCGAAGCGCCCUGGAACCCUGUCUGAAUAGUGAGUCUGAGUCUAUGAUUAAAUCAUUAAAACUUUCAACAACGGAUCUCUUGGUUCCGGCAUCGAUGAAGAACGCAGCGAAAUGCGAUAAGUAAUGUGAAUUGCAGAAUUCCGUGAAUCAUCGAAUCUUUGAACGCACAUUGCGCCCCCUGGCAUUCCGGGGGGCAUGCCUGUCCGAGCGUCAUUUCUGCCCUCCAGCCCGGCUGGGUGUUGGGUGUUGUCCCCCCGGGGACACGCCCCAAAGGCAGUGGCGGCGCCGCGUCGGGUCCUCGAGGAUUGGGGCUUUGUCACCCGCUCGGGACGGAAUCGCGGCGCUGGCUUCCUCCGGCGACCCUUCGGGCCGUCUCCUUCGGUUGACCUCGGACAGGUGGGUUCCCGCUGAAUUAAGAUAUCAUAAGCGGAGGA
Molecule: ribosomal RNA, 523 nt
Filed under: uncultured Ascomycota
Lineage: Eukaryota; Fungi; Ascomycota
Description: partial 18S ribosomal RNA
Rfam family: 5.8S ribosomal RNA (bases 149-302)
Source: RNAcentral